CCUACGUGGCGCUGCAGUGAGGAAUAUUGGUCAAUGGGCGCGAGCCUGAACCAGCCAAGUAGCGUGAAGGAUGACUGCCCUACGGGUUGUAAACUUCUUUUAUAAAGGAAUCAAGUGAGGCACGUGUGCCUUUUUGUAUGUACUUUAUGAAUAAGGAUCGGCUAACUCCGUGCCAGCAGCCGCGGUAAUACGGAGGAUCCGAGCGUUAUCCGGAUUUUUUGGGUUUAAAGGGAGCGUAGAUGGGUUGUUAAGUCAGUUGUGAAAGUUUGCGGCUCAACCGUAAAAUUGCAAUUGAUACUGGCAGUCUUGAGUACAGUUGAGGUAGGCGGAAUUCGUGGUGUAGCGGUGAAAUACUUAGAUAUCACGAAGAACUCCGAUUGCGAAGGCAGCUUACUAAACUGCCACUGACAUUGAUGCUCGAAAGUGUGGGUAUCAAACAGGAUUAGAUACCCUAGUAGUC
Molecule: ribosomal RNA, 460 nt
Filed under: uncultured bacterium
Lineage: Bacteria
Description: partial 16S ribosomal RNA
Rfam family: Bacterial small subunit ribosomal RNA
Source: RNAcentral